Aegilops tauschii subsp. strangulata is the source of this 23867-nucleotide non-coding RNA. NCBI's taxonomy places the organism in Eukaryota, Viridiplantae, Streptophyta, Magnoliopsida, Poales, Poaceae. The record is from RefSeq and is a predicted model, not a curated record.
UGUUUUAUCAACCACCCUAAAUUUGUCCACAACUGAUGUUUAUGACAUGGUUUUCUAUUUCACACAUUCUUAUUCUAUGUAUAUUGUGAUUAUAUUUUCAUUUCCUUAGUUGUGUUGCUGUUCAGUUGACUGUUAAGUUUACGGUUAUUUCCCCCGCAAAAAAAAAAAGGUUAUGGUCUUUUAUUCCAAAAGAGAAAAGCAUGUUUCUUUGUAGGAGACUAGCUGCUAUAUAGACUUGCAUAUUUUGUAAUGUUUCUUUUACAAACAUACGAUGUAAUAGAGUGUAGACAUGGGCUAGACGUCUAGCCAAACCUACCUAUAGCAUUUCUAAAACGAUAUAAUUAUAACGGUUACAUGUAAAUUACGUGUGUAGAUUUAUCCUUUUUUUCAUACGCCUUAGUAGAUUCUAAACAUAUGGUGUGAUGUAUAAAAGUUUAUGGUCAACGCUAGUUUAGUGUUUGGGUCAAAUUAUUAUUUGAAAGUAGGGGUUAAAGUUUGCCAAGAAAAAAGCAGAUUAUUAUUUGAGAUUGAUAGAGUACGACUAUAUCCCACUUGGUCUUGUUUCCAUCAAAAGUGUGUCCCCACUUUGUUGAAGAAUACACCUACCAUUUUGGUAGUGGGCCUAACUCAUCUCAGCGGUUUUGUUUGGGCCUCAUUGCCCUAAUACGCUAGUAAUCGUCUCAUUUCCCAUAUUUCCCUUAGUCUCACUCCCAAUCACUUCACGAUCCAAGGAAGGGAAUGCCAGCAGCCAUGGCGGCAGUGUCCCCUUCGGCCAUUCAUGCCACUUGAGAGGAUGGAGGAUCUGGUGACGUCACGCUAGAGACAUCGGCGCAAGCGAGGUUGCCACCAUCCUUGUCGCGACGACAAUGCCACAACGGAGGGUAGAACGGGAUGGUGGGUGACGGCAUUGCGGAAGGAGGUUUGACCCAGGGAAGCAAAAAUAAUGUGCAAUGUUUUAGUCCCGUACUCCUACUAAAUAAGGAUCUCGGUCGAGAGAAUCUAGAGUAUGGUGUGGUCUAGAAAAGGAGCAAGAGUGCACUCGAGCAUGUUUAGGGGGUGGUAUGUUCGGGGCGGAGGCCACAGGGGGGAGCUAUGCCCGGCUGGAUGACCAUAAAGGGCGAGGGAGAAUUCCUUCUUUUAAGUAUAAAAGUAUACUCCCUUUGUUCACUAUUAUGAGAUGUUUUGGAUAUUUUAAUAUGAACUACGUACAAAAAUGAGUGAACAAAACAUACUAAAACGUGUCUAUGUACACCUGAUUUAGAAAAAAGUUAGAACAUCUUAUAAUCGUUAAUGGAGGGAGUACUAGAGAAUAAAAUCCUUCCCUAGCUAAUGGUGGAUCAACAACACUGAGUCUGAAGAGAUAGAGGAAUUAUUUGAUCCUGCACACAUCCUUCCCUAGCUAAUGGUGGAUCAACAACAUUGAGUCUGAAGAGAUAGAGGAAUUAUUUGAUCCUGCACACUGGAGCAUACGAAGGAAGCAUCGACACCAAUAUGCAUGGUGAGCUAUGUUGCACAGGGUGGUGCACAAGAUAGCACCUGUGCUCUCUGACAACAGAGGAGUAGGUGAGUGACAACACCUGUACUCUACAACAGAGGAGUAGGUGUAGUGAUAGAAAAAACAAAUCCUUAAGCUACCAUCAUAUGCCUUUGUUGUCAAAAGAGCCAUAGUUUGCAACUCAGCCUUUGCACUAGAAGGGAAAAGCGCAAUCGGUUUCUUUGUCUUCUAGGCCAUGAGAAAACCAUCAAGAAAACACAGUACGUAGAAAGGGACGUGCGAACUUGAGCAUAGGAAGAAGAGAGACGGUGAGAGAUAUUUCCACGAAGAUAUCGUAGAACGGGGGGGGGGGGUGCUCAAGUUGAUAAAAGAUAUCGUAGAACAGGGGGGGGGGGUGACUCAAGUGGAUAAAAGUGAGAGCAGAGACAAAGUGACUUAGAAUGAGAACGUGAUAUGAACUGUCUGGACGAGUGACAUCUAAAUAGACAAGACUCCCAACAAUUUGAUGAUAGCGUGUCAAAUCAAACAAAGGUGGAUGUUGAGCUCCAUGGGAGUGUCAUGCCACUUGAGAGGAUGAAGGCUCUAGCAACAUCGUGCGAGAGGCAUCGGUGCUAGCGAGUUUGCCACCAUCCUAGCCAGGACGACAAUGCCGCAGAGCAUAUAGUGGAGGGUAGAGUAGGAAAGUGGAGUGACGACGCUGCAGGAGGAGGUGCACUCGAACGGGGGGCACUGCAUUGCAGUCUGUUUCUUCUUUCGGGCGAGCGCCAGACAGAUAGACUCACAACAAAAUGUCGAUAAAGCGCCAGAUCAGAUAGUAGGUCAACAUCAUUAGUAGGGAGGUGAACAUUGAGCUCCAUGGGAGUCUCAACAUGCGCUCAUCAGUAAGAGCAGCGCGAGUAAGAAGAUCCUAAAUUAUUAUUUUUCAGCCUGAAGGGGCCUCAAUCCCAAGAAAGUAGCAGAGAGGGCUAAGAUAAAACAUAAGAAACUGCAUACUAAGUCAUGCCUUAACAAAGGCAAUAUACUCACGGUCUGCGUCAGUGAUGAUCAUGUCAUCAACAUAUAGAAGAAGAGUCCUACCAAGAACAGAAAGGAGGACAAACAAUGUCGGAUCAUGAGCACUCGGUGAAAACCAGCAGUAGCCACCAUAGAGGCAAAACGCUCAAACCAGGUGUGAGGGGCUUGCUUAGAGCCAUAGUGAGAGUGAUGAAGACGAGAAAGCAUGUCGUAAGGAGCAGCUCACCAUUAAGAAAUGCAUUCUUAACAUCAAGCCUAGACACAGAUCAGUGGCGAACAGAGGCCACAAUAAGAAGUGUGCAAACAGGUGAGCAAGUCUCAUCAUAAUCAGGACCAUGCUCCUGCUGAAAGCCAUUACCCACAACACGAGCUUUGUAAUGCCCAAGAGAACCAUCAGAGUGAGUCCUAACCUUGUAGACCCACCAAGUGAUGGGACGAACACGAGGAGGAACACAUACAAUAUCCCACGUGCCGAUGCACUCAAGAGCAACAGUCUCUGCCAUCAGAAAGUGCCAUUUGGUAUGAACAACACCACAAUAAGAAGUUGGCUCAAGAACAACAUCGCCAUGCCAAAGCAGACGAGGACACAAGCCAUAAGUAGGCUGAGACGGGGAAGAUGGCACAUCGGUAGACGCAUCCACAACACGUAGACGUCAUGUAUAGAAAUUAGGAAAAGAUGGAAGAAUACGAGUUGGAAUCAUCGGGAUAAACUCAGGUGAUGGAGACAAGGAACCACCGGUGAUGAAGGUGUAGAAUCAUGUGAUAAGUGAGGUGAGGAAAUUAUAGGAGAUGAUGGCAUUGGUUCUACAAUAAUGAAUAAUCAGAGAAGCAGGAGCCGUACGAGGACUUGAUAAGGGCUCAAUAGGAGUGGUAGGAGUGUCGGGAAAAUUGUGGAAAGAGAUAUACUCCACUUAAAAGGCCGAAGAAGAUGGACUCAACAAAAGUCAUAUCCCGAGAAAUAGGCAUCCGACGACCAACAUGAUCCCAACAAUGAUAUCCCUUAUGCUCAUCGUUGUAUCUUAAGAAGACACACUCAACAGACUGACAAGUCAGUUUGGUGCGUUCAUGAGGGGCAAGAAGGACAUAGCAAACACAACCAAAUAAUUGAAGCGCCGAAUAAACGAUCAAAUAGACGCUCGAAAGGAGCGUCACUCUACAGAGCAGUGGAUUGCUAAAGGUUGAUGGGAUAGAUGGAAGUGGAGACAAACUCGACCCAAAAGUGCGACGGAAGAGAUGCGGUGACAAUAACGAACGAGUCGUCUCAAGAAGGUGAUGAUGCUUGCGCUCAGCCACGCCAUUUUGAGCAUGAGCACCAGGAUAAGAGAGCCAAAGUCUGCUCAAAAAGGAUUCCACCAGAGUCAUCAUAGAACACACGAAUAGGUGUAGAGAACUGAGUGUGAACCAUGGCAGCAAAAGGCUUAUAAGACCUCACUACAAGAAGAAAUAAAGUAUAUCCAGGUGUGUCGAGAGAAGUUACUACCGGAGGCAAAGGGAGAUGGACCCCUGAGAUCAUAUUGAACAAGGUCGGAAAGACGACGAGACACUGUCUCGCUAUGAGUAUAAGGUAGUUGGACCGUGGAUUAGAGACAUCAUCGGAGACGGAUUGAAGAAGACCACGUCGAACUAAGGAUGAGAGAUAACAAGUGAUCCAAGGGGAUGAUGCCAAUCCUGAAAUUAGCUGGUAGACAAGGCAACAGAGGCAGAGACUAGCGAUGGUGGCAACAGAGGGACUUGAUCCAGCAUCCCACGUGCCUAUGCACUCUUCGUACCCCACCGAUCCGGCUUGGCGUUCUUUUCCUGUUUGCGGGUUGUGGGUCACGCACUUGAUUAAGCACCCUAGGUUCUCCUACUGCGCCCUUGGCCUUGACUUUAGGUAGCGCCUGUCCUCGGCUCGUCCCGUGCAUAAACCAGGUACGCGUCGACUGUCCGAGCUCCUGCUCACCAUUGGUGGUGCUCGAGCGUGCGGUUAUGGUGUUGCACAUAAAGGGAACACGGGAUGUGGGAUUGAGACAGUACUCAUAGCAGCCCGCAGCAAGGCAAAGAAUGCCCAUCUAGACUGGCAGGGAGCAAAGGUGGGCACAGAGGUGGACGUUGGCUCGGAACCUCAACAGUGCGCUCAUUAGUAAGAGCAGCACGAGCAAGAAGAUUUUGGAUAUACUUCUCUUAGGAAAUAAGGAACAAUCUCAAGGAAGUAGAAAGAGGACCAAGAUUCAGCAGUGACCUUAUCACUAAGAGCAGCACGAGCAAGAAGAUCCUAAAUGUACCUCUCUUGGGAAAUAAAGAAGCCAUCAGAGGUAGAAGAAACCUUAGUUCCAAGCAGUGAAAGGGACCAAGAUCAGACAUUAAAUCUAUUCACUAAGACGAGCCUUCAAAAAGGCAGUGCACUCAAAGUUGUUGGUAGUGAUGAUCAUGUCAUCGACAUAUAGGAGCAAAGCUCGACCACAAGCUUAAAGAUGGAUAUAAAGUGCAGGAUGAUGAGCAUUUGGCAAAAACUAUUUGCAGUCAUCGCCGAGACAGAAAACCUCAAACCGUGCACGAGGGCUAAAGGCAUAGAGAGAGUGACAAAUACGACAGAUCACGCCAUCAGGGGAAAAUAUCUAUGUGGUGGCUACAUGUAGACCUUCUCAUGCAACUCACCAUUAAGAAAGACAUUCUUGACAUCAAGCUAAGAGACAGACUAGUGGCGAGCAAAUAUCACAACGAAAAGUGUGCGAAGAGUGGUCACGUGGGCCAUAUGAGAAAAUGUCUUGUCGUAGUCAUAGCCAUGUUCCUAUUGAAAGCCACAAGUCACAAGACGGGCUUUGUAAGGCAAGGGAACCAUCAGAGUCUAGAUCUUGUAGACCCACUUACAGCAUACAAGUGACGGGUUGAGCAUGAGGAGGAAGGGAAACAAGAUCCCACGUGUCGGUGCGUUCAAGAGCAGCAAUCUCCUCUGCCAUCGCAUCUCACACCGUUUGGGUGAACAUGGUAUCACAGUAAGUUGUAUUGAGAAGAGCAGCGCCAGAACACCCAUAGUGAUCAAUAGGUGGAAGCGGGCAAGCGCAGAAGCUAGGUUGAGCUGGAGGUAGUGCGUUUCCAACAGAAGGAGACAUAGUGGAGGGAGAUGGCUCAUCGAAAGAUAACGCAUCAGAAGAAUCCACUUGAUGUGGACGACUAGUGUAGUAAAGAAGAGGAUGCAGGAGAAUCACUGGGGAAGUCUUAGGGGACGAAUGAGGUGGGGAAGCCGCAAGUGAUGAUGACGUGGGGUCUACAAUAGUAGUGCAGGGAGACACAUUGGAAUGGAUGUAGGAGGGCAAAACAUGAGUGAUAGGUGUAUCGGAAAAUGUUAGGAAAGAAAUAUCCUCAAUGGGAGAGGCCGAAGGAGAGGAUGGACGUGGAUAGAAAGGACGAGACUCGUCAAAAGUCACACCUUGAGGAAUGGGCAUUCGCCGAUCGAUAGGAUCCCAACACAUGAAGCGCUCAGUAGCCAUGAGAACGACCAAACAGACACUCGAGAGGAAUGUCACCUUGGAAAGCAAGGAAGGCCGACUGUUGACGAGGUAGGUGGAAGUAGAAACAACCUCAACCCAAAAGUGAGGUGAAAGAGAGGUGUUGAUCUCCAGUGCACAAGCCGCCUCAAGAAGUUGACGAUGCUUAUGAUCAACAAACCAUUCUGAGCAUUUGGACCAUGACAUGAGAACCGAGAAAGUGUGCCCUGCUCAGCAAGGAAUCCGCACAACAAAUGAUAGAUGAACUCGCAAGCAAAAUCUUCAUGGAAGACACAAUUAGGAGCGGAAAACCCGGCAUGAAGCAUGGGGGCAAACUUCUUACUGAUAGAUAAGACCUUACUACAAGAAAAGCAUACAAUAUAUCCAUGUGUGUCGAGAGAAAACAUCUAUAAAGAUAAUAUAGUGGCGAUGGCCUCCUUUUGAGGCAAAGGGAGCUCGACCACAAACAUCAAAAUGAACAAGAUAGAAAGGACGAGACACAAUCUCGCUAUGAAGAUAAAGUAAUUAAACCUGUUUGCCAAGCCGACAAACCUGACAGUCUAAAGACACAUCGCUAGAGACAGAUCCAAGAAGACCACUUCGAACUAAGGAUGAGAAACAAGAAACACACACGUGACAAAGACGAUGAUGCCACAAAGGGACAGUAAACGAAGUAACCGAGGCGGAGAGACUGGCGACGGUGGCAGCAAAGGGAAGGUUAAACCAGUCAAGCUCCUAGAGGACCUGGGAGUUACAACGACGAUGGCCAACACUAAGUAAAGCAUCCAUCCGAGGAUCCUAAUAAGAACAAGAGUUAAACUAAAGAAUGACUGUACAACCAAAGUUGACAAUCUGACCACCUAAAAUGAGCUGCAUGGGCCAAGGAAUAUGAGCAAAAGAAUAAUAUGAAAAGACGAAGUAGUAAGAGUGCCUUGACUGUCGACUUGGAUGGAAGUUCCAUCAGCGGUAAGAACAUGAACAUUAGAAUCUGAAGGUCGAAUAGCUGACAAACUCGAAGAAUCAUAAACUAUUUGAAAAUACAUCCAGUACCAAGGAUUCAUAGAGGUGUACUUGGUUCUGUAAAAGUGGUCACUCGGUACUAGAAAAAUCAGUAGCAAAACCUAACUAGUAGACAUGGAAGUCGCCUAAUCUCCAGUGUAGUCAAUGUCUCAACUGAAGAGGUUGCUGAAGAAGUAUUGUGCGAUGAAACUAGAAGUAGCAAGUAGGUGCUUUGUUAAAGAUCAAACACCCAAAAGUAUUUCUCGUUCUUUUUUGUUUAGUUUAAUUUGGUUUUUGAUUGCUUUCUUUUGUGUUCCUUUUUUUUGCUUCCUAUUGUUUGUUUGUUGUUUGCUUUUAAAAGAAACCCUCCUUUCGUUCUUUUGGUGUUUUGAAGUUCUUUCAGAAAACAACAUAAAUAUUUCUUCGUUCUCUUUGCUUUUUCUUUGGAAGUUUAUUUGAUUGCCUCUUCGUUAAAACUUUGGAAAUCUUUUAUCUUUGCGUUCUUUUUUGCCUUUGAGGAAAACCAAAUAUUCUAAAUUAUUUCUGUUGUGUUUCUCUGAGUUCUUUGCAUUUUAUGUUUUAGAAAAUUCAAAAAUAUUUCACUUCUGUUGUUCUUUUGUUUUCUUUUGGUUGUUCUUUUUGUCUUUUCUUUGUUGUUUUCUUUUUGUUGUUUCUUUCGUCUUUGUGUUUAAAUUGCAAAACCCAAACUUUCCAAAAAGAUUUUUCGUGUUUGCAUCUUAUUGAGUCCCAAGUGUUUGUAGUGUUCUUUUUACUUCCUAUUGUUUCUUUUGUUUGUGUGUUGUUUGCUUUUGAAAGAAACCCAAAAACAUUUCUUUUAUCCUUUCGUUCUUUUGAAGUACUUUGAGAAAACAACAAGAUAUUUCUUCCUUUUUUUUUUUGCUUUUUCUUUGGAAGUUUAUUUGAUUUCGUCUUUGCUGAAACUUCAGAAAUCUUUCAUCUGUGCUUCUUUUUGCGUUCUUGUUUGCCUUCUUUGAGAAAAGAAAAAAAAUCCAAAAAUAUUUCUGAAGUGUUUCUUUGAGUUCUUUUUUGCCUUUUAUGUUUCAGAAAAUCCACAAAGAUUUCUCUUUUGUUGUUCUUCUGUUUUCCAUUGUUUUCUUUUGGUUGUUCUUUUUGGCUUUUCUAUGCCGUUUUCUUUUUGUCGUUUCUUUUGUCUUUGUGUUUAAGUUGCAAAACCCAAACAUUCCAAAAAGAUUUCUCGUUUGCGUCUUAUUGAGUCUUAAUUGUUUUCCUUUGGUUAUUCUUUGUGGCUUUUCUUUGUUGUUUUCUUUUUUUCAUUUCUUUCGUCUAUGUGUUUAAGUUGUAAAACCCAAACAUUCUAGAAAGGUUCUUGUUUGAGUCUUAUUGAUUCUUAAUUGUUUGAAAUGUUUUUUUUGCUUCCUAUUUUUUCUUUUGUUUGUUUGUUGUUUGCUUUUAAAAGAAACCCAAAAUGAUAUCUUUAUCUUAUUAUUCUUUUGAUGUUAUUUGAGGAAAUCACAUAAUAUUUUCUCGUUUUUGCUUUUUCUUUGGAUGUUUAUUUGAUUGCCUCUUUGUUGAAACUUUGAAAAUCUUUUAUCUCUACUUCUCUUUGCCUUCUUUGAGAAAAAACAAAAAUUCCAAAUCAUUUCUGUGUGUUUCUCCUAGUUCUUCUUUGCCUUCUAUUUUUUAGAAAAUCCAAAAAUAUUUCUCUUUCGUUUAUCUUUUGUUUUUUCUUUGUUUUCUUUUGAUUGUUCUUCUUGGCAUUUUUUUGGUGUUUUCUUUUUGCUGUUGAAUUCGUCUUUGUGUUUAAGUUGCCGACGUUCAAAAAAACUUACAAAACCCAAAAAUUCCACAAAGAUUUCUCGUUUGAGUCUUGUGUUUGUAGUGUUUUUUUUGCUUCCUAUUGUUUCUUUUGUUUUUGUUCUUUGCUUUUAAAAGAAACCCAAAAAGAUUUCUUUGUCCUUUUGUAGUUUUGUUCUUUUGAAGUUCUUUGAGAAAAUAAUAAUAUAUUUCUUUGUUCUUUUUACUUUUUCUUUGGAUGUUUAUUUGAUUUCCUCUUUGUUGAAACUUUGGAAACCUUUUAUCUUUGCUUGUCUUUGCAUUCUUGUUUUCCUUAUUUGAGAAAAAACAAAAAUUCCAAAAUUAUUUCUGCUGUGUUUCUCUGAGUUCUUUGCCUUUUAUGUUUCCGAAAAUUCAAAAAUAUUUCUCUUUCGUUGUUCUUUUGUUUUCCUUUGUUGUUUUGGCUUUUUCUGUUGUUUUCUUUUUGCCGUUUCUUUCGUCUUUGCAUUUAUUUAAGUUGCAAAAGUUAAAAAAUUCCAAAAAGAUUUCUCGUCUUAAGUGUUGAACUGAAUGAAUUUCUGAUUGGCUCUUAUGUGCUUUAUUGUUGAACUAAUGAAAAGACCAAAAAUAUUUCCCUUGUCUUCUCUUUUGUACAAAUUGUCCAGUAGUAAAACCUGCAAAUCCUAUCGAUGGAGAACCAAAAGAAGCAGCUAGCAGAUACGGAAGUUGCGUAAUCUCGAGUGUAGUGAGGGGCUCAACUGAAGAGGUUGACGAAGAAGCACAAGGCUAUGAAUAAAAACUAAAAGAAGUAGGUGUCGAAGUCGUGUAAUCUCUGUUCCUCCUCGAUCCGGUUUGGCGUCCUUCCCUUGGUUGCAGGUUUUGUGCCACGGACUUGAUGUUGCAUCCCAUGUUCCUUUUGGUGACCCUUGGCCCCGGUGGCAGGUAGCGUUGUGCACAUAUCCUGUGGGUUAAUGUUGAGGAAAUCGUUAACUGGUAACUGUUCUCUCAACUUGGGAGUAGUGAUUAAUCGUUGAAUUGGUUUAUUAACUGGAUUAAUCGGUCAACCACUAAUUGGUGGAAUUUUCAACUCAACAGAAGCAAAUUUAUUUUGUAUGGAGGGAAAAUCUACAUUGCAAAUAGGAGGCAAAUGGCACAAUUUCUUUUCUCAAUAGAUCACAAACAUGUAUACAACAACAAUCAUCCAUGUGGGCAUCAAAAGUCAUCAACAAACAUGUAUACAACAACAUUUUUUGCUAAUUUCUGCCUGUGUUGCAACUCUGAGAGAUGGUGGCCACACGAUGACGACAGAUAGAGGGAAGGUGACGGCCUCCGCGCUGGGCAUCUGAACGGGUCGGUUGCCGGAGGUGGUAGGUCAUGAAGGAGGGGAAGUAGCGGCGUGUAGAGGGAGAAGAGGAAGCGGCGACACACAGGGGAGGAGGGGGAGUGGCAGCACGCCGACGAGGAUCUGGUCAGUCGCCAUCUAGGUCGGGAGGGGAUGAGAGGAGCAGGAGGGGUUCUAAACCCUAGCUAUUUAGGAGCGGGAGGGUUUAUGGGCCAAAUAAUUAGGAUUUGUUUGCUCACAAGUCAACAGGCCAGCAGCGAUUAAUCAGCUUGACAACAGAUUAGUCGGUCUAAUCGACCAUUUAAUCAGCCUGGCAAGUUAACGCGAUGAAUAUGUGUUAUUCGAGUCGGCCACCCGAUGAGUAGCGAUUUACUGGCCAAUUAACUGAUUAAUCAGGUGAAUUCUUGAACAAUUGGUUAGACAUUGCGGUGCCGACUGCCCCUGCUCUUGCUUCGCCGAUAGGUGGUGCUUGAGCAUUCGGCUAUGGCGCCCACCAGGGGAACACGGGUUGUGGGAUUGAGACAGCGACAAAGCAACCUGUAGCCAGACAAAGGAUGCUCAACCGGACUAACAGGGAGCGGAGCGUGCACGAGGGGUGUGGUGGAGGGGUGAAAAAGCCGUCGGGAGCGGACCGCCGCCGCCAUUUAGCUUUUGGACCUGGAGUUGAGCGGAUAGGGGAAGUGAGGAAGGCCGGAAGAGGGCACCGAGAGGAGAAAGGCAUCAUCCACCCUACGCUUGUGCGUUAGCCGCGACAGCGGGCGGUUGUGGGCAGAUCCGGUGUCUGCACGUGGAUCUACUACUCAGGAUGACAUGACAUGCUUGUUGAGUGAGGUGUCACAACUAUUGGGCCGUGUGGGUGGGUUUGGAGAGUCUGUGUUGUGCUCCGGUUAAGCCUUCAUGAAGAAACGGACCAAGUGUAAAUCAAAAGGCACAUAUUGUUCAAAAGAGAGAAAAGGAUCCGAAUCCGACCCGAGGACGAGCUCAAACCUUAGGGUUUGAAAAGAAGAAGUAAAGCGCUCGUUUAUUUCAAUCAAAAAAGGUAGGUCAUAACACAGAUUGAAUUAGACCAUACUCAAUCACUCAUUGCUGGAAAAAGUAGAGCGAUUUCCUAGCAAAAAUAAGCACGAGCGAGAUAUUCUUCCUUAACAGGGAUCUCAAUUGCGGGAAGAAGUACAAAGGGCAAAGGCAGAAGUGGAAGGGUCAAACUCCUCUAUUGAGGAAAGACGGAGCCUCAUCAUUGGAAAGACUGACAACUUAACGGUCUGAAAAACUAUUCAAAGAGUGACUUUUAAGCCCCACUGGUUCGCUUUAUUUUCAAUGGACAUUUCCUCCCUCGUCAACAGCUUCAUUACCUGCUAAGUUUGGAAGGGUAGUAAAAUCACUCACAUGGGAGUGUCAAUAGUGACCUUAUCACUAAGAGCAUCACAAGUAAGAAGAUACUAAAUGUACUUCUCUUUGGGAAAUAAAGAAGCCAUUAGAGGCAGAAGAAACCUCAAUUCCAAGGAAGUAGCGAAGAGGACCAAUAUCAAACAUAAAAACUAUUCACUAAGACAAGCCUUCAAAAAGGCAAAUGCACUUAGAGUUGUUGGCAGUGAUGGUCAUGUCAUCUACAUAUAGAAGCAAUGUUCGACCUUGGGCUGAAAGAUGGAUAUACAGUGUACAUGAGCAUUUGGCAAAAAUUAGUCGCAUUCAUUGCUGAAACAGAACACUCAAAUCGGACGAUACGGGCUAAAGGCAUAGAGAUAACGACGAAGACGCCAGAUCGUGCCAUCAGGAAAAAGAUAUCUAGGUGGUGGCUACAUGUAGACCUUCUCAUGCAACUCAUGAUUAAGAAAGACAUUCUUGACAUCAAGCUGAGAGACACAUCAGUGGCGAACAAAUAUCACAGCGAGAAGUGUGGGAAGAGUGGUCAUGUGGGCCAUAUGAGCAAAUGUUUCAUCUUAGUCAUAGCCAGGAUCCUGUUGAAAGCCACGGGUCACAAGACGAGCUUUCUUACGCAAGAGAAUCAUCAGAGUCUAAAUCUUGUAGACCCACUUACAAGAUACAAGUGACGGGAUGAGCAUAGGGAGGAAGGGAAAUGAGAUCCCACGUGCCGGUGCGUUCAAGAGCAACAAUCUCCUCUGCCAUCGCAUGUCGCCGUUCGGGAUGAGCAUGGUGUCACGGUAUGUCGUAUUGAGAAGAGCAACACUAGAAUACCCAUAGCGAUCAAUAUGCGAAAGCGGGCGAGCGCAGAAGCCAUAAGUAGGUUGAGCUAGAGGCGGUCCAUUGCCAACAGAAGGAGAUAUAAUAGUCGAGGGAGAUGGCUCAUCGAAAGAUGACACAUUAGAAGAAUCUGCAAGAUGCGGACGACUAGUGCAGUAAAGAAGAGGAUUGGGGGGAAUCAUCGGGGAAGUCUUAGGGAAUGAACGAGGUGGGGAAGCCACAGGUGACGAUGACGUGGGGUCUAUGACAGUAGUACAAGAAGACACAUUGGAAUGGAAGAGGGCAAUAAGUGAGCGAUAGGACGCAUCAACACCAUUAUGGUUGGUGAGUUCAUGCUUUUCAAGGUCGUGCCGCAAUAUUGAUAGCAUUUGUACUGUCUGACAAGGGAGGAGUAGGUCUAGUGACAAAAACAUCAAAAUCCUUAAGCAACCAUCGUAACCAAGUCACCUCUGUUGUUAACAGAGGUAUAACUUGCAACUCAGCCUUUGCACUCAAAUUGAAAAGCGCAGUCUGUUUCUUUGUCUUUUGGGCAAUGAGAAAACCAUCAAGGAAACAUAGUAAGUACAAAGGGACGAGCGAACUUGUGCAUAGGAAUAAGAGAGAGACGGUGAGAGGUAGUUCUACAAAGAUAUUGUAGAACCGCGGGGAGGGGGGGGUGUGACUCAAAGUGGAUUAAAGUGGGAGCAGAGGCAAACUGACUUAGAAUGAGAAUGUGAUAUGAAAUGUCUGGACGAGUGACAUCUAAAUACAAGACUCCCAACAAGAUGACGGUAUUGCGUCAGAUCAAACAAAGGCUCAUUGUCAGAAGCACAAAGAUGGACGUUGAGCUCCAUGGCAGUGUCAAUAGUGGCUACCACUAAGAGCAGCACGAGCAAGAAGAUACUGAAUGAAUUCUCUUAGGAAAUAAAGAAGCCAGCAGAGGUAGAAUAAACCUCAUUUCGAAGGAAGUAACAACGAGGACCAAUAUUAGACAUAAAAACUAUUCACUAAGACGAACCUUCAAAAAAGGCAAUGCACUCAGAGUUGUUGGCAGUGAUGAUCAUGUCAUCAACAUAUAGAAGCUAAGUUUGACCCUGAGCUGAAAGAUGCUAUAAAGUGCAGAUCAUAAGCAUUUGGCAAAAACUAGUUGCAGUCAUCGUUGAGACAAACACUCAAACCGGACACGGGAGGCUAAAGGCAUAGAGAGAGCGACAAAGACGGCAGAUCGUGCCAUCAGGAAAAAAUAUCUAGGUGGUGGCUACAUGUAUACCUUCUCAUGCAACUCACCAUUAAGAAAGACAUUCUUGACAUCAAGCUGAGAGACAGACUAGUGGCGAACAAAUAUCACAGGAGAAGUGCGCGAAGAGUGGUCAUGUGAGCCAUAUGAGCAAAUGUCUCAUCGUAGUCAUAGCCAUCUUCAUGUUGAAAGCCACGGGUCACAAGACGAGCUUUCUAACGCAAGAGAACCAUUAGAGUCUAAAUCUUGUAGAUCUACUUACAAUAUACAAGUGAUGGGAUGAGCAUGGGAGGAAGGAAAAUGAGAUCCCACGUGUCGGUGCGUUCAAUAGUUCAAUAGCAGCAAUCUCCUUUGCCAUCACAUGUCGAUGUUCGGGAUGAACAUGGCGUCACGGUAAGUCGUAUUGAGAAGAGCAACGCUAGAAUACCCAUAGCAAUCAAUAAGCGGAAGCGGGCGAGUGUAGAAGCCAUAAGUAGGUUGAGCUGGAGGAGGUGCGUUGUCAAUAGAAGGAGACAUAGUAGUCGAGGGAGAUAGCUCAUCGAAAGAUGACGCAUCAGAAGGAUUCACAAGAUGUGGACGACUAGUUUAGUAAAGAAGAGGAUGAGGAUGAAUCACCUGGGAAGCCUUAGGGGAUGAACCAGAGUCAUCAUAGAACACGCAAAUAGGUGUAGAGAACUGAAUGUGAACCAUGGCAGCAAAAGGCUUAUAAGACCUCACUACAAGAAGAAAUAAAUUAUAUCCAUGUGUGUAGAGAGAAGUUACUACCGGAGGCAAAGGGAGAUGGACCCCUGAGAUCAUAUUGAACAAGGUCGGAAGGACGAGAUCAUAUUGAACAAGGUCGGAAGGACGACGAGACACUGUCUCGCUAUGAGUAUGAGGUAAUUGGACCGUGGAUUAGAGACAUCAUCUGAGAGGGAUUGAAGAAGACCACGUCGAACUAAGGAUGAGAGAUAACAAGUGAUCCAAGGGGAUGAUGCCAAUCCUGAAAAUAACUGGUAGACAAGGCAACAGAGGCAGAGACUGGUGAUGGUGGCAACAGAGGGACUUGAUCCAGCAUCUCACGUGCCUAUGCACUCUUCGUACCCCACCGAUCGGCUUGGCAUUCUUUUCCUAUUUGCGGGUUGUGGGUCACGCACUUGAUUAAGCACCCCAGGUUCUCCUACUGCGCCCUUGGCCUCGACUUUAGGUAGCGCCUGUCCUCGGCUCGUCCCGUGCAUAAACCAGGUAUGCGUCGACUGUCCGAGCUCCUGCUCACCAUUGGUGGUGCACGAGCGUGCGGUUAUGGUGUCGCACAUAAAGGGAACACGGGAUGUGGGAUUGAGACAGUACUCAUAGCAGCCUGCAGCAAGGCAAAGAAUGCCCAUCCAGACUGGCAGGGAGCAAAGGUGGGCACAAAGGUGGACGUUGACUCGGAGUCUCAACAGUGCGCUCAUCAGUGAGCAGCACGAGCAAGAAGAUUUUGGAUAUACUUCUCUUAGGAAAUAAGGAACAAUCUCAAGGAAGUAGCGAAGAGGACCAAGAUUCAGCAGUGACCUUAUUACUAAGAGCAGCACGAGCAAGAAGAUCCUAAAUGUACUUCUCUUGGGAAAUAAAGAAGCCAUCAGAGGUAGAAGAAACUUUAGUUCGAAGUAGUGAAAGGGACCAAGAUCAGACAUUAAAUCUAUUCACUAAGAUGAGCCUUCAAAAAGUGCGCCCUACUCAGCAAGGAAUCCGCGCAAUAAAUGAUUGAUAAACUCGCAAGCAAAAUCUGCAUGGAAGACGCAUAUAGGAAUGGAAAAUUGGGUACGAAGCAUGGCGGCAAACUUCUUACUGGUAGAUAAGACCUCACUAGAAGAAAAGCAUAAAAUAUAUCCAUUUGUGUCGAGAGAAUUAUCUAUAAAGAUAAUAUAGCAGCGAUGUCCUCCUUUUGAGGCAAAGGGACCUGGACCCCAAACAUUGAAGUGAACAAGAUCAAAAGGACGAUGAGACACAAUCUCGCUAUGAGGAUAUUGUAACUUAACUUGUUUGCUAAGCCGACAAACUGACAGCCUAAAGACACACCGCCAGAGAUAGAUCCGAGAAGACCACGUCGAACUAAGGAUGAGAGACUAGAGUCACACAAGUGACCAAGACGGUGAUUCCAAAAGAACCGGUAAACAAAGUAACCGAGGCAGAGAGACUGGCGGCGGUGGCAGCAAAGGGAAGGUUAAGCUAGAUAAGCACCCAGAGGACCUGGGAAUUACAACGUCGAGGGCCAACACCAAGUAGAGAAUCCGUGUGAGGAUUCUAAUCAGAACAUGAACAUGAGAAUCUGGAGGUCGAAUGGCUGACAAAUUGAAAGAAUCGUAAGUUAUAUGAAAAUACAUGGAGAUGUACCUGGUUGUGUAAAAAGUGGUCGCUCGGUACAAGAAAAAUUAGUAGCAAAACCUGUUGAUGUUGAACCAAAAGAAGCCGCUACUAGAUAGUAAAGUCGCCUAACCUUCGGUGUAGUCAGGGUCUCAACUGAAGAGGUUGACAUAGAAGUACCGGGCAAUGAAACUAGAAGUAGGAAGUAGGUGUUUUGUUAAAGAUCGAAAACCCAAAUGUAUUUCUCGUUCUUCUUGCUUGGCUUCAUUUGGUUUUUGAUCUCUUUCUUUUGUGUUCUUUAUGAUUCUUUUCCUUCUUAUUGUUUCUUUUGUUUAUUUGCUUGCUUUUACAAGAAACCACAAAACAUUUCUUUCUCCCUUUUUUCUUUUGAAGUUCUUUGAGAAAACAACACAAAUAUUUCUUCGUUCUUUUUGCUUUUUCUUUGAAAGUUUAUCUGAUUGCCUCUUUGUUGAAACUUUGGAAAUCUUGUAUCUUUGCGUUAUUGUUUGCCUUCGAGAAAACCAAAAAAUCCAAAAAUACUUCGGUGGUGUUUCUCUCAGUUCUUUGCCUUUUAUAUUUUCAAAAAAUCCAAAAAUAUUUCUCUUUCACUUUUCUUUUGUUUUCCUUCGUUUGCUUUUGAUUGUUCUUAUUGGCUUUUCUCGCUGUUUCUUUUUGUUGUUCCUUUCGUCUUUGUGCUUAAGUUGCAAAACCCAAAAAUUCCAAAAAGAUUUCUUGUUUGCAUCUUAUUGAGUCUCGAGUGUUCAAAGUGUUCUUUUUGUUCUAUUUCUUCCUAUUUUUUCUUUUGUAUGUUUUUUUGUUGUUUUCUAGAAACCCCAAAAGAUUUCAUUGUGCUUUUGUUCUUUUGAUGUUCUUUGAGAAAACAACAAAGAUAUUUCCUCGUUCGUUUUGCUUUUUCUUUGGAAGUGUAUUUUAUUGCCUCUUUGUUUAAACUUUGAAAAUAUUUUAUCUUUGCUUGUCUUUACAUUCUUGUUUGCCUUCUUCGAGAAAAAAAAUCCAAAAAUAUUAUUGUUGUGUUUCUUUAAGUUCUUUGCCUUUUAUCUUUUCGAAAAUCCAAAAACAUUUCUCUUUCGUUGUUCGUUUAUUUUCCUUGUUUUCUUUUGGUUGUUCUUUUUGUCUUUUCUUUGCUGUUUUCUUUUCAUCGUUUCUUUUCUCUUUGUGUUUAAGUUGCAAAACCCAAAAAUUCCAAAAAGAUUUCUCUUUUGCUCUUAUUGAGUGUUAACUAUUUGAGGUGUUCUUUUGUUUUUUUUCUAUUUUUCUUUUGGAUGUUUGUUGUUUGCUUUUAAUAGUAACCCCAAAAGAUUUCUUUGUCCUUUUGUUCUUUCGAAGUUCUUUGAGAAAACAAAAAAUAUAUUUUCUCGUUCGUUUUGCUUUUUCUUUGAAAGUUUAUUUGAUUGCCUCUUUGUUGAAACUUUGAAAAUAUUUUAUCUUUGCUUCUCUUUACGCUCUUGUUUACAUUCUUUGAGAAAACAAAAGUUCCAAAAUAUUUCUGUUGUGUUUCUUUAAGUUAUUUUUGGCCUUUUAUGUUUCCAAAAUUCCAAAAAAUAUUUCUCUUUCGGUGUUCUUUUGUUUUCUUUUGGUUGUUCUUUUUGGCUUUUCUUUGCUGUUUUCUUUUUGUCGUUUAUUUCGUCUCUGUGUUUAAGUUGCAAAACCCAAAAACUCCAAAAGAUUUCUCGUUUGCGUCUUAUUGAGUGUCAAUUGUUUGAAGUGUUCUUUUUGGUUUAUUUUUCUUCCUAUUUUUCUUUUAUUUGUUGUUUGCUUUUCAAAUAAACCGUAAAAUAUUUCUUUAUCCUUUUGUUCUUUUGAAGUUCUUUGAGAAAACAACAAAAAUAUUUCGUCGUUCGUUUUGCUUUUUCUUUGGAAGUUUAUUUCAUUGCCUAUUUGUUGAAACUUUGAAAAUAUUUUAUCUUUGCUUCGCUUCACGUUCUUGUUUGCCUUUGAGAAAAAACCAUUCCAAAAAAUAUUUCUAUUGUGAGCGGAAUUUUGUUUGACCCUAGGUCUCUUAGGGUGUUUAUGUGGGCUCGCAGCUCGUCGUUGCUGAGCUCUCGCGUCGUUGCUUGAGUAAGGCCCCAUGUAAAGAUACAUGGGGUGAGCCCGAGUGGCUUGAGUCGCCGCUCGAGUCACGUCUUGAAGACUUGCUCCCCGGUCAGCCCGUGGUCGAUCAGGCUCUCCACCGCGUCGAUCAGCCCCCGGGCAUUGCUGGAUGUCUUCUUCAUCGGCUUCCAAGAUCUCUCAGCCGCUUGGGUGGCUCAUUGAUGAAGGGCGGCAGAUCUCCCGUGAUCCUCGAAGCAUAGAACCAACCCUUAUGCCAGUUGCAGACUGACUUCGCCAAAGCAAUCUUGAAGUAGUCCGAUUCAAGCCGGAGCUGGAGGUUGGCACCUUCAAGGUCGCGGAUAUCAUCGCCAUUCUUCUGGACCUUCACCAGGAAGUAGUAUCAAAACAACUCGAAGUUCGGGUUCGUCCCAAGGAAGCAUUCGCAAAGGGUGAUGAAGUUGGCGAUGUGGAGAAUGGCGUUGGGUGUCAAAUGAUGCAACUGACACCCGUAGGAGAACAAAAGCCCGCACACAAAGCUGUCUAGCGGGAAAGCCAAACCUCGACAAAAGAACUGCUCGCUUGUGCCAGCUGGUGCCAGGAUGGCCACGGCCCCCGCCGUCCUCCAUUGAAGUACCUCCCAAGGCAGCAGAAAGUCGUCUUGAACUAACGCAGUGGAGAACCACUUGCCUGUGGUCUCGCCCGCCUCCUUGUUGGCGGAAGCGUUGUCCUUCUGCUCGUCAGCGGUGGUGGCCCUGGGAACGAUCCGGCCACGACCUCGACCGCGGUCUCCCUCGCCUCGCACCAUUAGCGGCUCGCUUGGGUGGAGAAGGAAAGAAAGGGAGGGCUCGAGGAGCAAGAGCUUGCGACAAUGGCUGUUCCGACAGGGGAGGGAGAAGCAGUAGCGGGAUUUGCAAGAGGAACAGAGGAAGUGGGGAAAUGUCUCUCUCCCCCCUCUUUAUAUCCCACCGGGAAACCCAAGCAACGGCUUCGGUAGGUCGACAUGUGCCCCAUUUCCUUCGCGGUUUCCCACUACGCAGGAUGUGGGCGUGGAGAUCCAGGCAUUAUCAUCAUGAUGCAGCGGUCAAAGCGGAACCGACUGGCCAUCUCCCUAUCUUUGACAGUGAUGACGGGAUGUGACAAAGCGAGUGGCAGUAAUUUGAAGAAGACUUGCCACUGGAGGCCGUGCAGCCAUGAAGCUGCGAAGACGCGACGCCGGAGGCCAUGCGGCCGUGAAGCCGCAAAAUUGCAAAGACGCAGGCCGCGAAGCCGUGAAGGUGAAAGAUGCAAAGCCGCUAGAUCGCGGCACCACAAAAUCAGGAGCUACGAAGCCACAUAGAUGCGUUGCUGGGGGCCGCGCGAUAGCCAAGUACAUAGAUUUCGAGGCCGGGCUACCGAGAGCUAGACUGUCUCCAUCACUGAAAAAGAGCCUGCCUGGAUUACGUUCUCAAGGCAGCAAGACUCCACAACUCCAGACAAGCUCGGCCGCUACUGACGGUACAAUAUACCGAGGGUGGCCCGUCCGCCGGGAAGCUCGAGACUUGCUGGCUUCAGGGCCGAAGAGGCCUAGCGACAUCCUUACCCAGCGAUCAGUCUGUCUAGGCUUGGAGAUAAAAUUUAUCCUUGGCGUGCAAGCCAAGAAGCUCUCACAGUGAGGUUAGUUAGGAUCCCUAUCAACCCUAGCUCUCGUCCCCUUUAUAAGGCGAGGCUAGGGGUAGUUUGAGGCAUCUGUUCCAUUGCUCAGACCUUGGUAGUAUUCAUCAUCCGCCACUUGUAACCCCCUCUCACGAGGUGCUCCCACAUCAAUCCAAAACAAAGCAGGAGUAGGGUAUUACCUCGAUCAUGAGGCCCCGAACCUGGGUAAAAGCCCCGUACGAACUCCCUUUACUUCCGACUACGGUCUGUACCCUAACUGGGUCACUGACGGUUUUCUGCACCAUCACUGGUACUCUGGUAGUGAGUUGGAAUCUGUUUAAAUCGAUUGGUUUGCGAUAUCUCUCUCUAGGUUCGGUCCACUAUAUGUACCCUUGAUCCCCGUGUUGGUCUUCUGCGCCUGUCGGUUUCACGAUAUAUUUAGGAGGUUUGGUCUCGUGGGCAAACCUUUGCUCUUUAACUGAGUCAGGUCAGUGCCUUUUCGGUGGUUUGUUCGAUUCAUUUGUGUUGGCCUCAGUGCGUUGGUUACAGGACUGAAUCUGGUAUGUGGAGAUCAUGUCGAAGGGGGUUUGAGGAAGGUCUGAUUUGAGUUCAUGAGUUCCAUCAUUCAUCAUUUGAUAGGAGGUGGAUUCAGUGUCCUGAUUGAUUCUUAUUGUAGCAGUUGAUCUUGCUUUUGGUAUGUGUGUAUGUUCUCCUUUAGUUGCAGUAGAAGCAGGAGGGUAGUAGUUCUCAGAGAUGAAUCAAAGGCUGGAGAGGUUUGGUUUCUGUUCAUGGCUGAUUUGAUUCGUUACGGUCAACUGUUAUUUUCAUUUGGUCAGAUCUUCUCGAAUGUGGUGUUGAACUACUCAUCAACCUAGAACUUCGUGAUUGUUUGGAUGAUAUAAUCCCUUCUCGAUUCAGCUUCUUCAUUUGCACAGUACUCCCUCUGUAAACUAAUAUAAGAGCGUUAGAAUACUGAAGUAGUGAUCUAAAUGCUCUUAUAUUGUUUACAGAGGGAGUACAAUUUAGUCCAUGAUUAUUCUUACUUGGAUUGUUGGUGGUUCUCCAGAAAUUGGGAUUAUAUUAUUUGCUGCAUGGCCAUCAUCUUUUUUGGUUUGGUUUUGGUGUGGACCAGUUGGUUAUUGGGUGAACAAAUUUCACAAGUAAGGAGUAACAUUUUUCACUCAACCUUGAUAUGAGAAGUGUUAGUUUCAUACUACUGUCCUAUUUGGUUUAGAUAAUUCAGUUCUCUGUUUGUAAAGCGUCCCUAAAGCGCUUAAGCGUCAGAGCCUCCAGGCUUAAGGCGUCCAACUCGCCUUAGGCAGGUGUCUAAGGCGUCCGCCUUAGACAUUAGAGCGUCUGAAGCGCCCGCUUAGACUUUAAGCGGUGUGUGUUCAAAGCUAGUUAAAACUAUGGAACUUAAAUAUACGAAUCAGUUGAUAAAUCUCUUUCAAACCUUACCUGAGAAAAUUGUGAUUUCUGUUUGGUUUAGCCUGUGAACAAAAUUCAGGUUCCUACAAUUUUAAAUUAAUCUAGUUUCUACAUGUGAGCUGUAUUGUUUUCAGGUUUUCUACAUGACUUGUAUUAUUGGUCUUGUUAUUUUUAUGUUGGAAAAGUCUGAGAUUUAGAUUGUUGAUCUGCCUCUCUUUGUCUCGAAAUGUACUGGUGGUCUUUAAUCUGUUUUGCACAAUGCACAGAUGUUGGUGUCCAUAGUGCUUACUACAUGAACAUGAUAUUUGGAGUCUUACUUUAGUGGAGUGCUAAUCUGAUCAUGCUUGGAAAGGGGAUAUCAUGAUAGGUUUUGUUAGCCUGGGGCUUGUCUGAAACUGUUGUAGUCCUGUAAAUACAAAAGUAAAAAGUGUUGAAUGGGAACAGUAGUAGGUGUCAUUGUCAUCUGGAUUUAUCAGUCUGUAGUGUACACCUGGUAAAAGAUGGUCUGAACUCUGAAGCUAGUAGAAACUACUGGUUCCACAUUUCUUUUCUUGAUUCAGAUAAUUCAGUUCGUUCAUUUCGUAACAUUUUGCCGCUAGUACAAACUACUGAACGUACGCCAUUGCUGCCACGCCCGUGCCGCCCCGCCUCUUCCGACUCCGGCGGCAGGUCGGCGGCAACCGGCGGAGGUCUGACCACGACAGUAACAACGAUGGAAACUGCACAAUCUCAGAAUGUAAGUCCUGUCUCUCGACUCCCCUCCCGAAAUUUGGCAUGUUACUUUCUUGAUCAUGGAUUCAUGGUGCUGAUAUCCUGAUACAGAGAAGCUCAACAGCAAAUAUGGUCAAUGGGUAAUAAGCCUUGUUUUUUGGCUUGCUGUUGGCUGCAGCAGCACAUGCGAUGAGCUUAUUCAGCACGUGAACUUUGAAUCAAUAAGGCUGAUUGGAGUUGAAAUGAAUUUGAAUCAGGAAUAGGAUAUAGUGUAGGCUUAGCCUUGGACCAUAUAUGCACGCAGCUAGUGCAUUUCUACACGUAGUCCUAACUGUUAUUAACCUGUACAGUCCUAACUCCAAUAUAUACUUGGAUUCUGUAGAGCAACGGUAACUCGUCUCCUACUAAUUCUGCUCCCGUAACAACGCUUCGCUGUAAUUAUGCAUAUCAAGUGCUCCACAUGCAUAGUAUUCUGGAUGGUAGUAUAUUUCCGGGACCUUUUUCCCCGAUUUAUAAUGAUCUAAAAUGGUGUGCAUAUUAGGUUUUUAAAUGGACGAAAUGGAAUUCUUUUUGGAUGGAUAUAGCAUGGCCUACCUGAGAAGGAAGUAUUCAUGUGCGACAGAAAAAGCUGCUUUGUUUGUGCCUUUUGGUUUUGUGGGCUCUUUUGCAGUUGCAGGGACAGAGGCACUAAGCAUCUUAGUCUAAAAAUGUAUCUUGUUUGUGCAGUUGCAGGAUAACUAUCUGAACGCAGUGCAGAUUUUAGGUCAAAUAUCACCCGUAUGAUAUAGAUAAUGGCUUCAUUGGAAAAACAUUGUAACCCUGUAUAUGAUCUAUUUUAUAUCCUGCAUGUUCUAAUAUUAACAGUUUUGAGUCGGUGCAGAUUAGUUCAUAAGACGCAGUAUGCAUUAGUGUUAUCUUGGAAGAAUGUGAAAUUGUUAUGCUUUGUACUGCAGGCCCUAGUUGCUGCUCCUUGGAAAAUAACCUUAAUGCUCAAUUGAAGUCCUUAAAGUUACUGGUUGCCAUCUGUAAUGUUAAAGAUAAUAAAUAAAAGUUGGGCGUGCUAUUAGAGCUUCAUCCACUUGGAAAGACAUCUGAAACACAGAGUCUGUCAAAUAGUAUAGCACCUGUUUAAGGCUAGUUGUGCGCAAGGCAUUUUACUUCGGUGAGAUUACAUGGGUUAGAAUCUGGCACAUACAGUUUGCCCUUCUAUCAACUAGCAGCUCUUGCAACACCACACAUUUUGAUCACUGUUUCACGUCUACUUUUACUCCUUUUAAGUUCUGAAAAAAAUCAUGGUUCAAUUAGUUUUAAGUCAGGAAUCUAUGAAACACUUAGACAUUAAUUUAAAGGCUGAUUACGCAAGGCGCUACUCUUUUAAAGACUGGGAGCUGUAUGCAUACUGGAGCACUGCUAACAUGUAUUUUGAUGAUGUUCAUCACUAAACAUUUGACUUUGCAGGCUUGUGGUCAGCUUGACUAGUUUCAAACAAUGGCGGAAUGCUUGGCUUCGAUAUUUGGUACAGAGAAAGGCAGUGUCAACUGUCCAUUUUUUACUUCAAGAUUGGAGCUUGUCAUCAUGGCGAUCGCCUCUCCCGCAUCCAUAACAGGCCAACCAUGAACAUGAUAUGAUUACCCCUGGUCACAUGAUCCUUGGAAAUUAAGCAUCUCUUCGCCUUUAUAUAUACUUGUUUGCAUUAACAUCUUUCCUCUGUACUUCACACACACACGCACACGCACACGCACACGCACACGCACACACACACACACAUGACCUUGAAGGAAUAUUUGGGACGGAGUUUUCUAAGUUUUGCUGCACAGAGGAACAUAUGCCAUUUGUUUAGAAGUACAAGGAAUCAGGAGUAUGCUUGGAAGUGACCUCAAAGGAAUGCUUUGAAAUGAAGUUUGCAAAGUUUGUUGCUCAAAGGAGAGGAGCACUGAUCUUAAGUUCUUAACAAAAUGAUCUGCUAGGGUGCAACACAAUUCUUCUAAGGCAGGUGUGCCUCAAUUUUUCGUAGUGAGCUAAUUUGUUAUAGAAGUGCAUAUGUAAAUCUCGUAUGUCCAUUCUGAAUUUCUUGUUUGAUCUUUAAUGCGAUAUUGGUGCGCUAUGUCAUCUGGUAUACACAGAAAUCUUGGGUACUCUUUGGGCAUUUGAUAGAGAUUUGUACUUGUGACCCUUCUUGUACUUGUAAACUAGCAAAACAAAUUAGCUUUACUUAAAUGUUUUGUCGUA